RNAcentral lists this long non-coding RNA (3387 nucleotides) under Lupinus angustifolius (narrow-leaved blue lupine). Its description in RNAcentral is "long non-coding RNA (LANG_LNC002031)". The record is from RNAcentral. Lineage: Eukaryota; Viridiplantae; Streptophyta; Magnoliopsida; Fabales; Fabaceae.
CGAAAAGCUCAUAUUUUUACAAUAAAUGAAAUCUAAAAAGUUCAACUUUUUUGAUGAAAAAACAAAGAGGUAAUAAAAAAGAAGAACCUGGUGAAUUGAAGGUAGGGGACGAGGAUAGAUGGCAAUCAGAUAAGAAACCCCCUUCAACAAAGGUUGCAUUUUUGCGGUUUCCGUUGUUGUUGGAUCUCGAUCUUCCUCCUCUGUUUCCACCUCCCAUGGAUGAAAAACCUUACUACAAUUGCACUAUUAGUAUGUAACUAUUGUAUUGUUCGUUUAUGGAUACAAAAAAUGCAAAAUGUAAGAUUCACCCUCCAACAUUAACCCGAUCCAAUAGCAUAUUCCCCCGACCCGAUAGCAUAUACCAUAUUCUUAGGCUAAGUUCAAUCCCACACAUACUACCUAACCUCCCAAUAAUCGAACCAUCGACUUAGUAAUUUAAUGUAGUCUUACACUAUUAGAUCUACUCUAUAUACCUUAAAUCGAACACUCGAUCAUGAUGUAAGUACUAUAUCCAAGAAAGAACAUCUUUAUUCAUUCAACUAAGAGGCGUACCCUAUUUUUCAUAAACCAAUCUUAGAUAAAAUUCAUGACCAAAUAAAAUUGAAACUGUCUCGAAUUAUGUUUGUGAUUUCACUUUGUUAGAAAACAGAAAUACAUAAUUUGUGCAUUAUUUUUAGAGUAUCUCCCAACCAAUAGAAGAAAAACUAAUUAGUAUGAUCACUAAAUAAAAUAGAUUAAGGUGAUGAAAUUAUUUACAUUUUUUUAUUACCACAAUUAAAGUAACUAUAUGUUGGUUCUGAUUAUAACAAAUUUAACCAAACGUGACACAAGUUUCUUGGUUUCUUGUCUGGUGGGUGAUUUGUGUCCUCUAGUGAAUAUGAGAAACUUUUGAGUGUGGAUAUAGCAAUGUUUUGUUUUCACAAGCCCAAGUUAUUCCAUUCUCUUCAUAAAUAUGCUUCUUCCUCCCUUGUUCCAUGAAGCCAUCUUUCUUUGUAGGUGAAAGUUGGUGUUAAAUUAUGGGGAAGAAAAUACUUGUUAUGCUUUGUCUACAAGGAAUGUAUUUCCCUCCAUUUUCCUCCAUUCUAACUUAACGUGUAUCUCUCAUAGAGAAUAUCUUUGGAAAACUAUUUCAAACCAAUCUUGUUUACUUCCUCAACAAGAAGCAAUAAGCUCUUAAUCAUAAAUUAAAUUAAUUAAAGCUAAAUUCCACUUUUGUUCUGGAAUUGGCUCCAACAUUCGCCACAUGUAUAAUAAAAUAUAACUAUAAGAAAGAUCUUAGAAAUAUAUUAAAUUUGGGUAGCAAAGCCUAUAUGUAACCAAAGCCAUAACGUAUGUAACUAAAACACAACAACGUAGACAAUGAAAACAAAGAUUGCUUCUGGCACCAUCGGUAAAUCCAUAUUCCCAAUAAGAAAAAAGAUAUCAAAUAUAUUUUAUUUAACCAAAAUAGAAAGAGAGAUAGAGAGAUAUGUUAACAUUGAUAGUAUAUGAGUUUUACACAUUGUCAAUGCAUUAUUUACUAUUUAUCUUUAAUCAUCUUUGACUCUUAGUAAAUCAAAAUGAAUAAUACAUAAUAAUGUGUUAAUUGUGUAUAAAUCUUUAACGUAUAUAUUAAACUGAAAUAGAAAAGUCGAAGAUGAAUUUGUUUUAUUUGGGGAGGGAAAAAAAGGCAAAGGUAUGGGGAACCUAAAAGUGUAUUGUGGGUAACCUUAUCCCAUUUGUUUGGGUUUCAUUCAAUUUCUACCAACUGUUAGCUGCAAACUAGAUUCAAAUCAUGGACGGCCUAACCCACAAGACACUGCUCCCACAACUCUAAAUUGAAUGUGAAUGUGCCCGUUACCCACAACCAACUUUGUCCAUGUCAUUUCGAAUACUUAAAUCAUGUCUUAACAAUAAAUCAAAAACAAAAAAAAAUAAUAAUGAAUAUUUAUUUUUUAAUUAACAUAUUUUAUAGAUGUAAGAUAUAAUUUGUGACAUAAUUUGAUAAAACACAUUCUUAUUAAGUUGGUUGGAGUUAGGUUUUAAAGAAAAAAUGAAGAUAAGCAUAAACUUUAGUCCUUCCUUUCCAAUACAUAUUUCACAAACACAUCCUAAAAGAUCUUAAAUAAAAAGAAGGAUAAGAAGUACAAGGUUGGAAAUCAAAAUGUUGUAGCUUAUUUAAAUUACUAUCUUCACUGUUGUUCCCAAAACAUGAGUCCUCCUAAUAAUAUACCAACAAAUGCAAGUUACUUUGAUGCUAUGAUGGAAAAAGCUCAUCUGAUCUGUAUGAAAUUACAUGCAUAUUUAACCAGAGACAUGCAGUGAAACAAUGUGGGGAGAUAAGUUAAAAGAUGAAUGUUUUAAUUUUCAAGUACUCGUCAAGUUGUAGAUUCCAGCAAUGUCCACUCUCUAGGAUACUUAUGUGCAUGAGUAGAAUGUGCACCCACACAAUUAUGCAUAACAUCGUGUGAGUUCAAAAUGUACUACUAGCUAUCUGAUUAAGUAGAGUGAAUGAUCUUGCUUGAUUAUGCUGUAUGCAGCAUUGUAUGUAGGACUUAUACUACCUUAUAAAAAAUGGCAUCCCAAUGCACGAGACUCCCACCUCGCGAGGUCUGUAGAGGCAAACAGCCUUACACCCUUACCGUUGUACGAGGCUCACCCUCUUAGGUAGUGCCAUAGUGUUGUGUAUAAUGAGAGUUAUACAAAACAGCUGAAACAUAAUGAACAAUAUAGCACAAGAACCCAUUUAAUGUCAAAGUGAAAGCCUAAACAAUAAAUCAUUUUGUACGUGGAAAACACCAUUUCAGCUACAAGCACAUAUAGAUUGUUCAAAAUAAGCAAAAAUCUGAUUUAUUUUAUUAGGCACAACUGACACCUGAUAUUUUUAUUUACUUAUUCCACUUGUCUUAAAAAUAAUGCAUGAAGUUAAGACAAACCUGAAUAUUAUUAGCUGAAGGGUAAUUAUACCCAAUAGUAGUCCCCAAAUAAGAGUUUGGAACAAUCACUGUUUUAGAAGCAGAAGUUUCUGCUCUAUGUACCCUCCCAGAUUUGGAACCCGAACUUUUCUUCGAGCUACAGUUUCCACCUGCAAUCCAAGAGCAAAAUAAACUUAAAAAAAAACAUUGAAGGAGACAGAUUGAAAAAUAAAAAUACGAAAAAGAUGAAACACAAACACCCAUCAAUUAAAAUCCCGAAAAGCUCAUAUUUUUACAAUAAAUGAAAUCUAAAAAGUUCAACUUUUUUGAUGAAAAAACAAAGAGGUAAUAAAAAAGAAGAACCUGGUGAAUUGAAGGUAGGGGACGAGGAUAGAUGGCAAUCAGAUAAGAAACCCCCUUCAACAAAGGUUGCAUUUUUGCGGUUUCCGUUGUUGUUGGAUCUCGAUCUUCCUCCUCUGUUUCCACCUCCCAU